GGGUCGGUGCCCGAGAGGUUAAAGGGGGCGGACUGUAAAUCCGCUGGUCACACCUACGUUGGUUCAAAUCCAACCCGGCCCA
Molecule: transfer RNA, 82 nt
Filed under: Cryptomonas sp. SAG 977-2f
Lineage: Eukaryota; Cryptophyceae; Cryptomonadales; Cryptomonadaceae
Description: tRNA-Tyr
Rfam family: tRNA
About the family: Transfer RNA (tRNA) molecules are approximately 80 nucleotides in length.
Source: RNAcentral